RNAcentral lists this long non-coding RNA (513 nucleotides) under Phoenix dactylifera (date palm). RNAcentral describes it as "long non-coding RNA (PDAC_LNC002929)". Lineage: Eukaryota; Viridiplantae; Streptophyta; Magnoliopsida; Arecales; Arecaceae. The record is from RNAcentral.
UGCAAUAAAGAGAAAAAAUAAAAAUGUUUUCAUGGCUCCACUGCUUGCAACAUGAAGACAAUGCUGGCCUUGUCAAUCAAAAAAAAAAAUAAAUUCAUAACAUAUAUUCCAGAGGAUAUAAGGUGAAUUAAAUCUCAACCAUUAUUUACUAUGUAGCUAUAUAUAAAUUUACAGUAAAGACAAACACAGAUUUAUACAAUAAAAAAUAUUAUUAAUGCAAAAUCUCUCUAGAAUACAUCGGCCUCACCUCCUCCACUCCAAGAUUUGCACCUCCUACCCCAUUGCCUCCAUCUCCUCUCCUCCUCCUCCACCGAUCCUUCCUUUGAAACUCCCCUCCACACCCCAGCUAUUUUUCUUUUUCGUCUUCCAAGUUCUCCUUUAAAAGUUGUAAGAUCUGAUCUCAGUCAUAUUACUUGUUUAAUAAAAUAUUCAGGUCCGGAUUUAUAUUUUUGACUAGUUUAAUAAAUAGAUCGGACGGAUUGAUAGAUUGUUGAUUUAUCCUGUAUCCGACCC